Molecule: ribosomal RNA, 137 nt
Filed under: uncultured eukaryote
Lineage: Eukaryota
Description: partial 18S ribosomal RNA
Rfam family: Eukaryotic small subunit ribosomal RNA
Source: RNAcentral
UGGUGGGGUGACUUGUCUGCUUAAUUGCGAUAACGAACGAGACCUUAACCUGCUAAAUAGCCCGCAUUGCUCCGGCAGUGCGCUGGCUUCUUAGAGGGUCUUUCGGCUCAAGCCGAAGGAAGUUUGAGGCAAUAACA